Tribolium castaneum (red flour beetle) is the source of this 4258-nucleotide long non-coding RNA. RefSeq lists it as uncharacterized. The record is from RefSeq and is a predicted model, not a curated record. The transcript has 2 exons. NCBI's taxonomy places the organism in Eukaryota, Metazoa, Arthropoda, Insecta, Coleoptera, Tenebrionidae.
UAUUUAAGUAAUUAAAAAUUUAAAUAUCUGUGUGAUGUCAAAUUUAGAGCCUUAAACUAAUUAUGUGUUUGCUACUGUAUUAUUGUAAUGUUAUUCUAAAACAAAGAACGGUUACUUAAAUGUUGUUUUGUGCAAAAAGUAUUCGUGGGUUACACAUUGUCAUAAAUCAUUAAACUUAUUCAUUGUGCACAUAUUAAUUGUAAUCAAAUUCUACGGUGUGCCAAAAGUUCGGAAACCAAGCCGUUUUUAUUUAAAGUUUUUGCUUAAUACGUAAAACCAAAUAGUACAGUAUCAAUUAUUUCUGAAGAAAAAUUUUUUUCAAAAUUUUUUAAGACAAAAAACGCUUCGUUUCAUUCAUACUUUCCAUACUAAUACGUAUGUUUGAAUCUAUUAAAUAUGGCCACACGAAAAAUGCGCACAAGAAAAAAGCCCACACGGAGAAAAGCUCAGACCGAAAAAACACUCACAUCAUAAAAGAAUAAGUCCACAUAGAAAAAAACGCACUGAGAAAAAAUCACAAAGAGAAAAAAAAUCACAAUGAAAAAGGCCCAUCCAGAAAAAAAAACUUACAUGAAUAAAAUUCCAACUGUCAGAAAGCUCACAGAAAAAUUAACUCACUGGGAAAAAACAAUUCCUGCAAUCAUGGAUAGAUUUAUAAAUUUGUAAUUGUUCAAAUAAUCAUAAAAAGGUUUUAUAACGCAUUUUUGCUACAAUACUAUUCUAUAAAACAGUUAAACUCAAUUUUAUUUGUUGCAUUUUUUAGUUGUACUUAAAAAUUUAAAAUUUUGGAAAAUUGUUAAAGGUUUUUCUACGUAUGGUUUAAACCUAAACUGAAUAAUUUCGUAUUUGCUAUUUUGUUGCACUGCUUUGUUGAAUUGUAUGCUGAUGUUCUUUUCACAAAUUGAAAUUGAAAAAAAAUUGAUGUAUUUUCAUAAAAGUGACGAAUAAAAAACGUCAUUUCAUUUUUUAUUUCUUAUUUUUUAAAAUGGAAAUUAGUGUUUUUCACUGCGUUUUUGGAUUAGUCAUGUUAUUCAAAGGGAGUUUUCCUAAACCUAUUUUUCGAGAAAUUUAGGAUUUUUUGAAAAUAUUUGGAUUUGCACCUUUCACAUCGGUAACUCUUCUAUUUUUAGAGAUUUUGAAAGCGUAUUUGGAAAAUUAAGAAAGAAUAUCUGUCCUUCAGUGUGUUCAAAAUUGGAAAAGAAGUUAAUAAACUCAAAAAUUUUAACGUUAAGUUUGGACAAAUACAUGUACACUGAUAACUCAUUUUCUCAAAUGGAGAACCCCAAUUUUGAUUUCACUAAUUGGAAGAGAAUUUUUUUCUACAUCGAUUUGUAUUAGCCUUUCCUAUAACCAUCUGGUACGUUUCAAGUUACUCGUAUGUUGGUAAUUUUUUUAACAUUGUGGAAAAUUUCUUACUAACCACAACCAUUUUUGUAUUGUUUACUAAAGAAACGUCAAAACAAAAUGAAUUCAUUGAAUGUUGGUUUGAAAAACUUUAAUUUCUCACAUUUUUUCUCUCGUUUCAUGUAAACGUAUUAGAAAAAACUAAUGAAUUUCUCAAUCCCAACAAAAAGUUCUCGUAAAUUGAAAACCAUUAAACAUUACUACAGCGAAUGUUAAUACAGAUCCAUGCAGAAUUAAAUUCUCUACCAUUUAUUAGCGAAAUAAAAAUUGAGGCAUUUCAUUAAAAAAAUUGUAUAUAGCUGCUUAAAGUUCUGCAAACUUAACUUUAAAAGCUCGGAGUUUCCUACGCUUUUUUAAAAAAAUUUGAAAACAAAGUUUUUUUUCAAUUGAACUAAAAACGAAUUAAAUUUUUUUUAAAUGAGAGCGUUAUCGAUUAGUGAAUUGAAUGGUGUAAGUUCACCAUUAAAUCCCGAAAUAUUUAGUAAAUGGCUAAAUUUAUCUAUAGGGAAAGCAAAAAAUUUAUUUUGAGAAUUCUUAAACAAAAAAAGGAUUCGUUCGCUAUUACAAAUAAUUCAACUAGUAGUAAUUCAUGACUGCACUAGUGGCAGUCAUGAAUUGAAAAAAUGCCGAAAAAUGAAGUUACUCUUGUGAAUUGACAAUAUGAUAUCUUUAAAGUGGAGAACAAAGAAAAACAGCUUCUAGCUUUAGCUUCUAGAGCCUUAAGGCUUCAGGCUACCGAAGCGAAUGUUGAGAAUUGGUGUACUACAAGUUGCAUACUUUUUUUUAGACCUGUUUUCAGUGACAGCUGUCAAUCAUCGGAUAGGCAUCCGACCAGGGUUAGUCAAGCGGCAUAGGAAAAACGGUUUAUUAAAUCAUACUAUCAACAUGCGGCGCCACGUGCGUUAUCUAUGCAGAUUUCUGUAAAUUUAGAGUACGUGGCACGGUCGUUAAUAGAAACUACUCAUGCCAUCUUUUGGUAGUGUGAUUUCAAGUUAAAUCCACGAAUUUAUCCAAAAAUCCAAAAUAUUAAGCAACCUUUGGUGCGCAAUGUCACACUACAUUCAACGGUGUCAAAAAGUUUUUUCAAUUAAAUGUUUCAAUUUCCAAUUUGAAUUAUUUUGCUACGUGUUGUGUUCGUGGUUUUCUCUCUUUAUUUUUAUUUGGAUUCGUUUGUUGGUGUUAUCUACUCCUAAAGUAAUCUCAAAAACAUUUAAGUUUUGAACUUUCGAAGGCUAAAAUUUGCUCUGGUGUGGACCUAUUAUACAUUUAAAAGGCAACCUACAACGUUUAUUAAACAACUUUUGGCUGGCUGGAACACAUGAUUCUCGAAACAGUGCAUCUCUCUACUUGUGAAAGCUAUCCAGAAACAAAUCGACUUGGGCACCAAAAAUAACUUCGAGAAUUUAAACCAAAUUUCAUUUUUCAAGUGGACAUCUAUGAUGGACACCGUUUAAGACUUCUACCUUGCACAUAGUGUCAUUUAUUUAAUACACGCGUUCAUUCAUUCAUUUGUACAAAAGCCACAAAAACGUAUCUUAACUCCCUCCUUUUUCCCGUUAAGUUUCAAGGAAACUUAGAACUCCUGAAUCCACCAAAGUGGAGUCCUUACAUUAAAAUCAGAAAAACCUCUUACGCAUAAUAAGUUCAUAUAAGUAAAUUUGUUGUAAAGUCAUCUACGUGAGCCUACUACCAACACGAAAACAUACAAGAAAUGUUUGCACAAACUAUUAAAAGCACUAUUUUUCUGUGAAAAUUGAAUUGGGCACAUGUCUAAAACUCCAAUAGUACCUUAUUAGGGUCCGUAUUUACUUAUUUAGUUCUUUAAUUUUUUUCCAAGUUACAAAAUAAUGUUAAAUAACCGUUUUUUGAGGGUGAGGAAGUCGCCAAAUUAAUAUGUGGAAGCCAAACACGACAUUUAUUUCUUAUAAUUGAUAUUUUCAUAAUUUGUGAAACGUUAAUUUAUUAAUAAAUUAUUUUCAUUCAUUGUAUUUAUUUUUUCUUUAUAUUUAUAAUACUAACAAAAUUUUGCAAUUAAACACAUUUAACUGAUUUUCAAUAAAAUCGGUUAUGUGUGUUUAAAUUGUAAAAAAAUAAAAAAAUUAAAUUAAUUGUGUAAAUAAUAAAAUAUUUAAAUUUGCCGCCAAUUUUAGUUCCUCAUACUACCAAGAUAUGGCGCUAUUAUCGAAAUUUUGACGACCAGUGAAUUACGUGUUACUUGAUUUUCUAUAACUACUAUAUUCUAUGCAUCCGACCUUCGCCUCGGGGUGUCUUGUCCCUUCUCAUAAAAUGCAAAUAAUGUAAACAAACUGAAUUCCACUAUCGCCCACGAUAGUUUCUCUUAUUUCAGAGAUUCAAGCAACAUACAGUGAAAAAUUCGUUUUUUAUUUUGUUAAAAAAAUUUGAUACUAAAGAAUAAUAAAAUACUAGCAUAGUUUUGUAAAAAAUAAUACACCAUUACACCAUUUAUUUAUUGGGUUUUAUGUUUUAAUUAACCGAAUUCUGUUCGCUAUAUUAUGUGUCAUGUGCAUUUCUAAUUGGAUCACUUGCAUUGAAAAAAUAUAAAAUAAAAAAAUUAAUUGGUGAAACAUUAUUGUUCUUUCAGAAAACAGUUUAACUUUAAAAAAGUUACUAGGAAUAUCUCAUUAAAAUGAUGAAAACUUCUUUAAACCCGCUUUUUCGUCUGAUAAUUUUAUCCAGGUAAUAAAUUCUGAAAAAUACAUUGUUGUAAAAAUUUAUUGUAACUAUACCCAGUAAUAAUUAUAGUACAAAUAACGUAUCGAGAGAUUGUAAGAUCCAGUCUUAGGGAUAUAAUUUGUUUACGUUACGCCUAGUAAAAUAAAUGAUACUUUUAUAA